Molecule: ribosomal RNA, 656 nt
Filed under: uncultured bacterium
Lineage: Bacteria
Description: bacterial SSU rRNA
Rfam family: Bacterial small subunit ribosomal RNA
Source: RNAcentral
AGGCUUAACACAUGCAAGUCGAGGGGCACCGGGCAGCAAUGCCUGGGAGACCGGCAGACGGGUGCGUAACGCGUAUGCAACCUGCCUUAUGCAGGGGGAUAGCCCAUGGAAACGUGGAUUAAUACCCCAUAUUCUAUAUAGCCCGCAUGGAUUGUAUAGGAAAACUGAGGUGGCAUAAGAUGGGCAUGCGUCUGAUUAGCUAGAUGGCAGGGUAACGGCCUACCAUGGCGACGAUCAGUAGGGGUCCUGAGAGGGUUACCCCCCACACUGGCACUGAGACACGGGCCAGACUCCUACGGGAGGCAGCAGUGAGGAAUAUUGGGCAAUGGGCGGAAGCCUGACCCAGCCAUCCCGCGUGCAGGACGAAGGCCCUAUGGGUUGUAAACUGCUUUUCCUGGGGGAGAAACCCCCGCACGAGUGCGGGGCUGACGGUACCCAGGGAAUAAGCAUCGGCUAACUCCGUGCCAGCAGCCGCGGUAAUACGGAGGAUGCAAGCGUUAUCCGGAUUUAUUGGGUUUAAAGGGUGCGCAGGCGGGCCAAUAAGUCAGUGGUGAAAUCCUGCCGCUUAACGGUAGGACUGCCAUUGAUACUGUUGCGCCUUGAGUAUGGUUGAGGUAGGCGGAAUGUGCAGUGUAGCGGUGAAAUACAUAGAUAUU